GAAAAUCGUAUUCUUAUCCCAAAGUUAAAUUAAUAACCGUGGCAUUUAUUAAGAGAUAAAGAAUAUAAAGUUAAAAGAGAAAAAAACAUCAUUACAUAAUACUUUGAAAUGAGAUGUUCAACAUUACAUUUGCAGCUUUCAGAUUUUGCAGCAUCAAAUAUACUGGACAAUCAAAUCAUGUUGGCGGCUGGUAUGUUUCCGGAGUGCUCUAUACCAUCAUAACCUUCUUUAACAGAAGGGUCUUCUCCAAACUGUAUAAAAAAGCCACCCCCUGUUUGUACAAGAACAAUUUAUCCCGCAGCUGUUUAUAGUUAUGGCUAAGUAUUACAAAAAGUGUGUGCGGUAUAACAAUGAGGUACUUAACAAGUUUGUUUCGCGUGGCUGAAUGAUGUGUUGUUACCUAUAGGGCCUCAGUCCUUUUCUCCCUGAAACAGGGUUGUGCCGCCACGGCGUACAUGUCAUU
RNAcentral lists this long non-coding RNA (463 nucleotides) under Triticum aestivum (bread wheat). RNAcentral describes it as "long non-coding RNA (TAES_LNC013935)". The record is from RNAcentral. Lineage: Eukaryota; Viridiplantae; Streptophyta; Magnoliopsida; Poales; Poaceae.